UACGUAGGGUGCGAGCGUUUGUCCGGAUUUACUGGGCGUAAAGAGCGCGCAGGCGGUCGUUCAAGUCGAGUGUGAAAGCCCCCCGGCUCAACUGGGGAGGGUCACUCGAUACUGAUCGACUCGAAGGCAGAAGAGGGAAGCGGAAUUCCCGGUGUAGCGGUGAAAUGCGCAGAUAUCAGGAGGAACACCCGUGGCGAAGGCGGCUCUCUGGGACGGUACUGACGCUGAGACGCGAAAGCGUGGGGAGCGAACAGG
This 255-nucleotide ribosomal RNA is filed under the name uncultured bacterium. RNAcentral's name for it is "partial 16S ribosomal RNA". It matches the Rfam family "Bacterial small subunit ribosomal RNA", at positions 524 to 776 of the family's 1533-position model. The record is from RNAcentral.